CUGUCCGGAUUAUUGGGCGUAAGCGCGCGCAGGCGGUCUCUUAAGUCUGAUGUGAAAGCCCACGGAUAAACGUGGAGGGUCAUUGGAAACUGGGGGACUUGAGUGCAGAAGAGGAAAGUGGAAUUCCACGUGUAGCGGUGAAAUGCGUAGAGAUGUGGAGGAACACCAGUGGCGAAGGCGACUUUCUGGUCUGUAACUGACGCUGAGGCGCGAAAGCGUGGGGAGCAAACAGGAUUAGAUACCCUGGUAGUCCACGCCGUAAACGAUGAGUGCUAAGUGUUAGAGGGUUUCCGCCCUUUAGUGCUGCAGCAAACGCAUUAAGCACUCCGCCUGGGGAGUACGGCCGCAAGGCUGAAACUCAAAGGAAUUGACGGAGCC
This 378-nucleotide ribosomal RNA is filed under the name Bacillus sp. (in: firmicutes). Its description in RNAcentral is "bacterial SSU rRNA". It matches the Rfam family "Bacterial small subunit ribosomal RNA", at positions 541 to 920 of the family's 1533-position model. Lineage: Bacteria; Bacillati; Bacillota; Bacilli; Caryophanales; Bacillaceae. The record is from RNAcentral.